UUCCAUUGAAAGUCCAGCUUCUGAAACUUCAUAGAAGUAGGGCUCUCCCAUUUAGAAGAAGGGGAAAGGGUCCCCGGGAGCCCCGUGCCUGCACGCCGCCCUUGCCUCUCCAUCCCACGGGUCUUCUAGGUAACCGAUGGAGAAUUAGAAGAUUGAAGAUCAGGAAAAAAGUCUUUCUUGUAGAUGUUGUCCCCCAACCUAUAUUUCACAGGGUGGACUGGUUUCAUCACAGGCCCCCUGGAAAGGCUGACAACUUAAUAAUUUAUGAGACUCUCCUUCCCUGAUCUGCGACCCUGUGGGCAUCUGCAGUCUUAAAAGCCAACGGUCUCCUUUGUAGCACCGCUGAGAGAAGGCUGGAAAGAAUGAACGAUGUGUUCUUCGUGCAGCUGGUAGAGAAGAAAUGCCAAAAGUUCCCCAGAGUCCGUUGGAAAAUGAGCUUAAUGUGCCAAAAUUGUCACUGGGGUACAGAACUGCCAUGGAGCCUCUCCGCAGACGGGCGCCGCUGGCUUGGAGACCAGGAGUCUUCUGUCUUCCCGGGGACAGGGCUCGUGAAAUACACAUAGGGGCGCAUUAACUCAGGAUACCAAGGAUUCAGUAAAAUACGUCUGGAGGGAAUGAUUUCCAUCAUUAGAUAACAGUUCUAUUGAUUCAAGUUAUUCUUACCUGGAGCUCCACCUAAGUAUAGAAAAUGUGCCCAAAGCUGUCACAUCUUCAAGGUAUUUUUAUACCUUUAUAUAAUGAACAUCAUGAAAGAAGUCAUCCUACAGAUCUGCCUCUUGAAAUUGUUCACUGCUGAGAUUCCGAGGAAAGUUCCUAACAUUACU
Molecule: long non-coding RNA, 824 nt
Organism: Suricata suricatta (meerkat)
Lineage: Eukaryota; Metazoa; Chordata; Mammalia; Carnivora; Herpestidae
Exons: 3
Source: RefSeq, a predicted model, not a curated record